UACGUAGGGAGGCAAGCGUUGUUCGGAUUUACUGGGCGUAAAGGGCGCGUAGGCGGCGCGGUAAGUCACUUGUGAAAUCUCUGAGCUUAACUCAGAACGGCCAAGUGAUACUGCAGUGCUAGAGUGCAGAAGGGGCAAUCGGAAUUCUUGGUGUAGCGGUGAAAUGCGUAGAUAUCAAGAGGAACACCUGAGGUGAAGACGGGUUGCUGGGCUGACACGUGACGCUGGAGGCGCGAAAGCCAGGGGAGCAAACGGG
RNAcentral lists this ribosomal RNA (256 nucleotides) under uncultured bacterium. RNAcentral describes it as "partial 16S ribosomal RNA". It matches the Rfam family "Bacterial small subunit ribosomal RNA", at positions 524 to 776 of the family's 1533-position model. The record is from RNAcentral.